This 513-nucleotide ribosomal RNA is filed under the name Alcaligenes faecalis. RNAcentral's name for it is "bacterial SSU rRNA". It matches the Rfam family "Bacterial small subunit ribosomal RNA", at positions 56 to 557 of the family's 1533-position model. Lineage: Bacteria; Pseudomonadati; Pseudomonadota; Betaproteobacteria; Burkholderiales; Alcaligenaceae. The record is from RNAcentral.
UGCAGUCGACCGGCAGCGCGAGAGAGCUUGCUCUCUUGGCGGCGAGUGGGGGACGGGUGAGUAAUGUAUCGGAACGUGCCCAGGAGGCGGGGGAUAACUACUCGAAAAGAGUGGCUAAUACCGCAUACGCCCUACAGGGGAAAGGGGGGGAUCGCAAGACCUCUCACUAUUGGAGCGGCCGAUAUCGGAUUAUCUAGUUGGUGGGGUAAAGGCUCACCAAGGAAACGAUCCGUAGCUGGUUUGAGAGGACGACCAGCCACACUGGGACUGAGACACGGCCCACACUCCUACGGGAGGCAGCAGAGGGGAAUUUUGGACAAUGGGGGAAACCCUGAUCCAGCCAUCCCGCGUGUAUGAUGAAGGCCUUCGGGUUGUAAAGUACUUUUGGCAGAGAAGAAAAGGUAUCCCCUAAUACUGGAUACUGCUGACGGUAUCUGCAGAAUAAGCACCGGCUAACUACGUGCCAGCAGCCGCGGUAAUACGUACGGUGCAAGCGUUAAUCGGAAUUACUGG